GUGCAGCAGUCGAGAAUAGUCUACAAUGGACGAAAGUCUGAUAGUGCGACGCCGUGUGUGCGAUUAAUUCCUUCGGGAUGUAAAGCACUUUUCUAUGAGAUAAAAGCUCUUUAGGUUAAUAGCUUAUUGAGACGGAUAUUAUUAUAGGAAUAAGCUCCGGCUAACUCCGUGCCAGCAGCCGCGGUAACACGGAAGGAGCGAGCGUUGUCCGGAUUUACUAGGCGUAAAGGGCUAGUAGGCGACUAAUUAAGUUAUAUGUUAAAUCCCACGGCUCAACUGUGGUCCUGCAUGUAAUACUGGUUAGAUAGAGUACUGUAGAGGAAGGCAGAAUUCCUGGAGUAGCGGUGGAAUGCGCAGAUAUCAGGAAGAAUACCAAAAGCGGAGGCAGCCUUCUGGGCAGUUACUGACGCUGAAUAGCGAAGGUGUGGGUAGCGAACAGGAUUAGAUACCCCGGUAGU
Molecule: ribosomal RNA, 458 nt
Filed under: uncultured microorganism
Description: bacterial SSU rRNA
Rfam family: Bacterial small subunit ribosomal RNA
Source: RNAcentral